GCCGAUGUAGCUCAGUUGGUCAGAGCAGCUGAUUUGUAAUCAGCAGGUCGUGGGUUCGACUCCCUCUAUCGGCU
Molecule: transfer RNA, 74 nt
Filed under: Rikenellaceae bacterium
Lineage: Bacteria; Pseudomonadati; Bacteroidota; Bacteroidia; Bacteroidales; Rikenellaceae
Also listed under: 1 other name
Description: tRNA-Thr
Rfam family: tRNA
About the family: Transfer RNA (tRNA) molecules are approximately 80 nucleotides in length. Their secondary structure includes four short double-helical elements and three loops (D, anti-codon, and T loops). Further hydrogen bonds mediate the characteristic L-shaped molecular structure. tRNAs have two regions of fundamental functional importance: the anti-codon, which is responsible for specific mRNA codon recognition, and the 3' end, to which the tRNAs corresponding amino acid is attached (by aminoacyl-tRNA synthetases). tRNAs cope with the degeneracy of the genetic code in two manners: having more than one tRNA (with a specific anti-codon) for a particular amino acid; and 'wobble' base-pairing, i.e. permitting non-standard base-pairing at the 3rd anti-codon position.
Source: RNAcentral